AAUGCGAGACUAGCAAUCCCAUAAACCGUGGCUCAGUUCAGAUCGUAGGCUGCAACUCGCCUACGUGAAGUAGGAAUCGCUAGUAAUCGCAGGUCAGCAUACUGCGGUGAAUACGUUCCCGGGCCUUGUACACACCGCCCGUCACACCAUGGAAGUUGGCCAUGCCCGAAGUCGUUACUUUAACCCUUGUGGAGAAGGACGCCGAAGGUGGGGCUGAUGACUGGGGUGAAGUCGUAACAAGGUAGCCGUACCGGAAGGUGCGGCUGGAUCACCUCCUAA
Molecule: ribosomal RNA, 279 nt
Filed under: uncultured Synechococcus sp.
Lineage: Bacteria; Bacillati; Cyanobacteriota; Cyanophyceae; Synechococcales; Synechococcaceae
Description: partial 16S ribosomal RNA
Rfam family: Bacterial small subunit ribosomal RNA
Source: RNAcentral